Molecule: microRNA precursor, 67 nt
Organism: Loxodonta africana (African savanna elephant)
Lineage: Eukaryota; Metazoa; Chordata; Mammalia; Proboscidea; Elephantidae
Rfam family: mir-1264 microRNA precursor family
Source: Rfam
AGGUCCUCAAUAAGUAUUUGUUGAAAGAAUAAAUGAACCAACAAGUCUUAUUUGAGCACCUGUUAUG